UCGUGUUCAAAGUUUAAAGUUUUCUUUCAAUUGGGUAUCACAAUCCAAACAAAUCGUAAACUAUAUUAAUUAAUCAUCAAAUUCUAUACGUAUGUGUGGAGCUGGCUAAGUUACAGCAUCUGUAACUUACAAAUGCUGCUUCAGCCAACCCCCAACCUUGCAUUUGCAUUGCUUUUUCUCUGUAAGUGGGGACACGUGUGCUAUUCGCUUUGGGUUUGUAUAUGAUACAGAUGCUGUAACAUAGCAACCUCCGUUUGUUUCGUAGUGCUUUCUUCUACUUGUCCAAUGCUCUCAGUCAUCGUCACAAAAGGCCAAAACCCCCACCGAAGGCAGCAUUUUUUAACUAACACGCCCGUUACACGACAGCCCAAUGAACUGCAGCUUUAAUGCGGGUCACUCACUGGAGUCGGAGCGAACCUUUCCCUAUCCGCUAAACUCUCAGCUGUUGCUUCUCUUGGAAGCACGUCCGCAGGCUAACACGUGGCUAAUUUCCGUGCGUUAGCCGACGGCCAGCCAUCAGCUGUCUGUCGUCUUCGACACGUCACCACCAAACCGCCCGCUUAUAGUUUUUCAAACAUUCGUACAGAUACCAUGUGAAUCUUUACACGUGGAGACAGACGACUGGUGGGAGAGGUAUUGGCUUGAUGGCUUCAUUAUUAAAGAAAGAAAACCGCGGUGUUCGUUGAUUCCAGACGACGACAGGCAGUCCGGGACCCACAAAAAAAUGCGGCUGCCGCGCCUUUUCUCGCGAGACUGAUUCACACGUGGAUCCAUUGAAAAAUAAACACUUUUGAAAGUGGUUUUUGUUUUUUUAUUUUUAAUAAAAAUAUUGGUAUUGUUUUUGGUCUUUGAUUUUUUUAGAUUGAGCGCAAUUAAAAUUUUGUAUUCUUACUUUAUUCGCCUUUACCGCCAUUUUGGGUGUUUUCUUCUUGUUUUUUUUUUAGUUAAUACUUUGUGUUCACUCCUCUAACCAAGAAUAAUACAUUUAUGAUUACUUUAUUUUUUUCAUUAGAGCGAAUAUUAAAUUUUUUAUUAUCAUCUGACAUUUCUUGAACACGUAAAUAAUAAUUCUAUAUUUCGAUUAUAAUGAAAAGUUUAGGAUAAUUCUUAUUAAAUUCUUUGUAAAAUACACUUACGUAAACCAAUCCUACACAUUAAGAAUUUGUUUAUUAAAUAUUUAAAAUCUGAAAUUUUAUUCAUUUCAUUUUUAAAAAAAAUUGACUUAUUUAACUUUUU
This 1236-nucleotide long non-coding RNA is filed under the name Citrus sinensis (sweet orange). RNAcentral's name for it is "long non-coding RNA (CSIN_LNC000110)". The record is from RNAcentral. Lineage: Eukaryota; Viridiplantae; Streptophyta; Magnoliopsida; Sapindales; Rutaceae.